AUUUUAGUGACCUUAAUGUAGUUAACAAACACAUAUAUUAUACAAACACACAUUUAAUAAAUAAUUUUUUGACACGCCCACAAGCGACAAAUGUGGGGCGACAUAAGCGACUCAUCACGUUCUAGUGUGAACGCAGGGUCACACGUCCCUCAGAUAGAAAGGCGAGUUUUACGGAUGCAGGUAACAAUAGCAGUUCCUGGUUUUUGGAGGCUGGGCUAAGCUGCUGCAGCAGAAAGUGUUGUGCUGAAAAAGGACUUGAUGAUUAAUGUCGUUCCUACAGGUGCACUAUCUGGGGAGGACGUAUUCAAAAGAACGAGGAAAUGAGAAGAGCAGUGAUGUGGACCUGGCUGUGUGUGAGGAGUGGGAUGUGAAGACCAUCACUAGCGCUUUAAAACUCUACCUGAGGAGUCUGCCUGAGCCAUUAAUGACGUACGGCCUUUACAAGGAG
Molecule: long non-coding RNA, 448 nt
Filed under: Astyanax mexicanus (Mexican tetra)
Lineage: Eukaryota; Metazoa; Chordata; Actinopteri; Characiformes; Acestrorhamphidae
Description: lncRNA (ENSAMXG00005002597.1)
Source: RNAcentral